RNAcentral lists this long non-coding RNA (466 nucleotides) under Equus caballus (horse). RNAcentral describes it as "lncRNA (ENSECAG00000051900.1)". The record is from RNAcentral. Lineage: Eukaryota; Metazoa; Chordata; Mammalia; Perissodactyla; Equidae.
GGAAGCUCACAGUCUAGAAGAGGUAGCCGCAGAGAACAGAAGCAUCAGGGAGCCAGGUUUUCAUCUAAGCAAAGGAAACAAGGUUGAGGUGAUUAUUCAGGAUACUUCAGGAAAAAAAGAAUAUCUCAGAAUUAUCAUACUACAAUGAGAUUAAGAAUUCAUAUUCAGAAAACUAAUGGAGAUCUAAGAGCAGUGGAGAAGAGCUGACUGGCCUUGGGAAAGGACCCAUUUUUUUAAUGCAUGUCAAAGCUAUAGUCUAAUACAGUUUUUAAGUGUAAGGUGAUCGAAAUGAUCCUGAUUACCUCUAAUGAAAAUGGUCAACAGAACUGGAAUAUAACUUGGUUGCAAAUAACUCCAUUGGUUUAAACCAAGGACCAAUGAAACACAAUUUCCAUCUUAAGAGGGAUACUUAGUGUCUUUUCAUAUGUGUGUGUGUGCGUGUGUGUGUAUGUAUAAAAUAUCCAGA